UCAUGCCUCUUGUGUUGAGGUGCCCGUUUGGGCCUAACAGGGAAUCCCGUGAGAAUCGGGAGCGGUCCCGCCGCUGUAACCGGGGACAAACCUGCAUAAUGUCACUGUUCGUUUUUUUUAAAGCGUAUGGGAAGGCGCAGGUGUUUGGAUGAUCCGGGAGCCAGAAGACCUGCCUGAGCUGAUGAUGUGCG
Molecule: non-coding RNA, 191 nt
Filed under: Desulfobacter postgatei
Lineage: Bacteria; Pseudomonadati; Thermodesulfobacteriota; Desulfobacteria; Desulfobacterales; Desulfobacteraceae
Also listed under: 1 other name
Source: RNAcentral